RNAcentral lists this ribosomal RNA (245 nucleotides) under uncultured bacterium. RNAcentral's name for it is "partial 16S ribosomal RNA". It matches the Rfam family "Bacterial small subunit ribosomal RNA", at positions 524 to 768 of the family's 1533-position model. The record is from RNAcentral.
UACGAAGGCCACAAGCGUUAUCCGGAUUUAUUGGGCGUAAAGAGCGUGUAGGAGGUUCGGUGAGUCUCCUGUUAAAUGGCACCGCUUAACGGUGUCGCCGCAGGGGAUACUGCCGAACUAGAGGGCGUUAGAGGCAGAUGGAACACACGGUGUAGGGGUGAAAUCCGUUGAUAUCGUGUGGAACACCAAAGGCGAAGGCAUUCUGCUGGGACGUUCCUGACUCUGAGACGCGAAAGCGUGGGGAG